This 1438-nucleotide long non-coding RNA is filed under the name Fukomys damarensis (Damara mole-rat). RNAcentral describes it as "lncRNA (ENSFDAG00000021579.1)". The stretch from base 1062 to 1132 matches the Rfam family "tRNA". The record is from RNAcentral. Lineage: Eukaryota; Metazoa; Chordata; Mammalia; Rodentia; Bathyergidae.
UUGUUUUCAGUUCUAUGGACCUUGGGCUGCUUUUACAGGACCUUUCCUUUCUCUCCAGGAACAAGAGCGGCAUGGGGAACAAAGUCCUGUCCCAUGAGAGCAUCUUCAUGUUGGAUACUGAGCCUGAAAUAUCAGCAAGUGAGAUAUACACUUCUACAGAGUCCCAGAGAGGCAGGACUCUGCGGAGAUCUCUGGCCUUCAGAACUCUGCCUAGAAGUGGAGCCGUGUCUGGAACCUUGCCCAGAAGAGGAGUCUGGGUUGCAGGUUCCAAGAUCACUGAGGUAAUAAGAGUGGACUUGUUCAGAGCAUGGGACAGCUAAGUCGGGUAGAUCUGUGCUUGAAUUUUCUGCUACUUGCUGAUGUGUGCCCCUGCGUUAGUUGCUUAACCUCUCUUGAGACUUCCUUUCCUUACCUACAAUUAAUUGGAUAUUAAUGUUUACCUCAGAGAGUUGCUUGUGAGGAUUGAAUGAAGACCCAGGAAGGUCAAAGAAAUCAUUCAGACUCACCCAGGUAAUAAGUUGUAGACUUGGAAAUCGGACACAGAUCUGUUAACCUCAAAAUCCAUGGACUUUUUCUAAGAUGCUCAAAUCAUUUGUCUUUGCCUGGACAAGGUAGAUUUUUAGCCCCAAUAAAAUAUAGUGUGGACGCAGGAUAGUGCCCUACCUCCAGCUAAUUACAAAUUAUAGUUUUGUUUUUUGUGUUUUUGAGACAGUCUUGCUCUGUAGUCUAGGCUGCCCCUGAACUUACUAUGUAGCCCAGGCUGCUCUUGACCUUACGGCGAUCUGGUUGCCUCAGCCCUCCAAGUGCUGUGAUGACAGGCGUAUGCCACCGUGCCCAGCUUUUAUAAACUGUAAAAGACAGACCUUGCUCACUCAGACUCCUCUGGAGCUCUGAACUGGAAAUGUUCCAAUAGAGCUGGAGAUAUUGGCAGGGAGUCGACCCUUUCCAGCUGCCUCUUCCGUUGCUAAGCCCUGUGUGCCUGGGAAGGCCAUAAUAGGAGGAGAAUUUCUCCAUAGGAAAGCCGAUUCUUUUGCACUAGGCAAAAUGUAAGCUGGAGAAUUGGGGGUUUAGCUCAGUGUAGAGCAUUUGCUUAACACGCAGGAAGCCCAGGAUUCAACCCCCAGUACCUCCAAAACCAUAGAAAAGUAAGUAAGUGGGGCUUAUUUCUGACAUGGCUGCUAAGUACCACACAUACUUUUUCUGGUUUCUGCACAGCAGCCUCUGUUAAACCGGACACAGUGGCACACGCCCGUAGUACCAGCGCUCUGAGAGGCUGAGGCAGGAAAAUUGCAAGUUGGAGCCCAGCCUGGGCAAAUUUAGUGACUUACCAUAUUAAGACUCCGUCUUAUAGUAAUAAAUAAAAGAAAGGGCUGAGGAUGUGGCUCAAUGUGAACACACCGGGUUCAAUCCCUAGUACUGCAAAACGAAACAAAACUAA